This 2400-nucleotide long non-coding RNA is filed under the name Triticum aestivum (bread wheat). RNAcentral describes it as "long non-coding RNA (TAES_LNC019662)". Lineage: Eukaryota; Viridiplantae; Streptophyta; Magnoliopsida; Poales; Poaceae. The record is from RNAcentral.
UAGAACCUGAGGCCACAACUGUCAGCUAUUCCUUUGACAUUACUGUAUUUCCAUGGUGACUUGUGGGCCCGUAUUUCAUUUGUGACCUUUUUCAAUCACCUCGUAAGUGCCCAAGGAAUGAUUGAUGCGUCUGUUCCGAGCUGUCAAUUUGUGGACGUUUGUGUAGUUUUAUCAUGAAUAGCGUCAUAUCUUGUGAAUACAGUCAGGCGAAAUAAGUGAAGUGUAAACUACAGUUGCUUCAUUAUGGUUUUGUGUGAAAGAAGCUUAAAUCUGGUCUUGUACAAUGGCCCCUCCUGGAAAUACAUUUUCUAGGUGGUGUUCCUUAAUUUGAACUGCUACUCUUGCAGUUCCAGGUCUUUAUCUUUAAUCAUGCCCAUUUGCCAGGAAGAUUAUAUGUCAUGGUUGAACCCCUUUGGAAGGGUGGUAGGAAAAAUAAAUUACUCGUAAUCACGGAUAUCAUAACGCUGGAACUGUCCAUUGGAAUCGUUCUUUGAUCAUCAUCAUUUUUUCUGCGUUGCUUCCAUGUAUUUUCUCGAGCACGGUUGUUUGUAGUUCGACUAAAAAAACAUGUUUGUAGCGAGUUACUAUAUAUAUCUCAUGAAAAUAUUCCUUUCGUGUUGUUUUCUCCAAAUCGUGCCGGGAAUUCAUCAUCUGCUAAAUCAUCUGGCGAAUACAGUAAAUGCUAACAACCUCUGUGCCCCUCUUCUAGCACUAGGGUUAGCACUAGGGGAAACCCUAGGUCCGGUUCCUCGGAUUAGAUGAUGGCGGCACCAUAGUAUCGUUCCCCUUCUUGAAGGCGCCAUCUUGUUGUGUCCCUGGUGUUGGUUUUUGGAGAUGUUGGACCGUCUUGUUGGCUUGUGGUGUACCCGGUGUUUCUCAUUUCAGAUUAAGUAAAGGGAUUACCCAGCUAGCGCAUAUUUAAGAGUUGGAGACUUCCUGCCACUAUAGAAAAAGCCGUUGAUGGAUCAAUUUCUGUAGGUGGGUCUCAACUCAGAUCGAGACACUCGGAUUUGCUGAACUCCAAUAAUAGAACCUGGUCCCACAUCCCUUGCACUUGAUAAUGAAACAAUCAUAAUUUGUUGAAUUGAAAUAUGUUCAAUCUCAUUUCUUUUACGUGGUUUUGGCAACUAUCAAUUAUCUCUUUCCUCGGCUUCCUACACGGAUAUAGCCGUAAACGGUAUCUAGUAGGCAACCUGGGAACUACAUUAGCUUAGGGGAUCGGGUGGCGAGCGCUCUCCUCGGCAAAGCAGACAAGAAGCAAUUCCACCAUUGGGAAGGGCACGCCCCCUUCCCUAGGGCUAGAGGGAUUUACACGCUGCAUUGAAUCUAACGCUAGAGCGAGUACUACGAUGAAAAUCACUUUUACAAGCGAUACCUUUGUCUUUGGUGCUUGAGUUGUCCUCCCAGCGGUUGGAGAUGUUGGACGUCACAUUUGUUCGGGUUGUCACUCAAGGCGUGGUUUUUCAGGGCGCAAUGCACGACUUCCAUGGUGCUUCCCCCAUGUCUUUUGCCUCUGACUAGGUCAGGUCCUGCUGCCCACUUCCCGAUCUCCCCGCACUCUUGGUGGGGGUACGUUGAUCCGAUCGAGUCUGGAUCAGUGGAUGCGUGAUGGACGUUCUCGUGAGAUCGUGACGCGGUCUGGGUUUCUUGUGUCCCACCUCCUCGUCUUUCAUGGCUGGAGGCCGGGUCAAGGGGGGUUUACCUGUGUUAUUUCCUUGUUUGGGCCGAGCAUUCCAUGUCUUUCUGCUCCGAGCACCAUGUUCAUGCCCUCUUGCGUUCGUGUCAGGGGUUGUACCUUCUCUUGUUUUGAUUCUUUUUCUUCUAUCAUUGAAAUGAUACGCAAGCUUUGCGUAUUCAUAAAAAAAUAAAAAUAAAAGAUGUUUAGUUUAGUGUAAAAAAAAGGUCUGGUAUUUUGGUACAUAGUAGCACUCCCUCCAUUCCACAAUGUAGUGCAUAUAGGUUUUAAAAAAAGAUCAAACUCUACAAAUUUUGACCAAGCUUGUAGAGAAAAAUAUACACAUCUAGAAUAGCAAAUACAUAUCAUUAGACGUAUUUUCAUAUCAUAUAAAUUUGAUAUUGUAGAUAUAAUUAGUUUUCUCUAGAAACUUGGUCAAAAUUUGUAAAGUUUAACUAUUGAAAAUAUUUAUAUGCACUACAUUAUGGAAAGUUUUUUUUCAUGACGACGCCGAGUUGUUUCUGUGUAUUUUCUCGAGCACAGUAUGUACACAAGACAUUUUGUCUCAUGAAACCAUUUCUUCAUGUGAAAGAAACAUGUGGCACUGACCCUCAAAAAAAAAAAAGAAACAUGUGGCACAGACAGUGUUGUUGUAGCAAAUAGUAAACACGUUUGUUUCCUCCAAAACGUGUCACAAGUUCGCCAUCCGUUUCAUCGGGUCAUGC